Molecule: RNA transcript, 2145 nt
Organism: Microtus ochrogaster (prairie vole)
Lineage: Eukaryota; Metazoa; Chordata; Mammalia; Rodentia; Cricetidae
Gene: Tial1
Gene name: TIA1 cytotoxic granule associated RNA binding protein like 1
Exons: 12
Source: RefSeq, a predicted model, not a curated record
CCGGGACCACAAUUCCCAGAGACUUGACUUCGCGGCUUUUCUCUCUGUGUCGUGUGUCUCUUGGAGCUGGCUAGGCCGCUAGGCCCACAGCGCCGACGUGCUGCGUCGUGUCCAGUGUCAGGGUGUACUCUUUUGCCAGGCUUUCUGUUCUUUCAACCACUUUUGCCGGACAGGCCGUCGCAACUGGCCUGAGUAGUGACCUGGCGGGCCGCGCCUGCGCCUUGAAGCGUUUCCUGCCUGUCUGGUGGCGGCGGCCAUUUUGUUCAUCCUCCUCCUCCUCCUGCUCCUCCUGGUUGGAGCGCAGUGUCCGGAGCGGGCUGGGGGGGAGCGGACCGAGAGUGGGGUUCAGUACCUUUUCCUCUGUCCCCAGCCGGAGCCCGGAGCCCCCCUCCCCUUCCUUCCCACCCCCUCCCCUCCCCAGCCCUGCCCUCCCCCUUGUCCCGGGAUCACUCCGUCGCACCCACCAUGAUGGAAGACGACGGACAGCCCCGGACUCUAUACGUAGGUAACCUCUCCAGAGAUGUGACAGAAGUCCUUAUACUCCAGUUAUUCAGUCAGAUCGGACCCUGUAAAAGCUGUAAAAUGAUAACAGAGCAACCCGAUAGCAGAAGGGUCAACUCUUCUGUUGGAUUUUCUGUUUUGCAGCAUACAAGCAAUGAUCCAUAUUGCUUUGUGGAAUUUUAUGAACACAGAGAUGCAGCUGCUGCAUUAGCUGCUAUGAAUGGCAGAAAAAUUUUGGGAAAGGAGGUCAAAGUAAACUGGGCAACAACACCAAGUAGCCAGAAAAAAGAUACUUCCAAUCACUUCCAUGUGUUUGUUGGGGAUUUGAGUCCAGAAAUUACAACAGAAGAUAUCAAAUCAGCAUUUGCCCCCUUUGGUAAAAUAUCGGAUGCCCGGGUAGUUAAAGACAUGGCAACUGGAAAGUCCAAAGGCUAUGGUUUUGUAUCUUUUUAUAACAAACUGGAUGCAGAAAAUGCAAUUGUGCACAUGGGGGGCCAGUGGUUGGGAGGUCGACAAAUCAGAACCAAUUGGGCCACACGUAAACCACCUGCCCCUAAAAGUACACAGGAAACUAACACUAAGCAGUUGAGAUUUGAAGAUGUAGUAAACCAGUCAAGUCCAAAAAAUUGUACUGUGUACUGUGGAGGAAUUGCUUCUGGGCUAACAGAUCAGCUUAUGAGACAAACAUUUUCACCAUUUGGACAAAUUAUGGAAAUUCGAGUUUUUCCAGAGAAGGGCUAUUCAUUUGUCAGAUUUUCAACUCAUGAAAGUGCAGCCCAUGCCAUUGUCUCUGUUAACGGUACUACAAUUGAAGGACAUGUGGUUAAAUGCUAUUGGGGUAAAGAAUCUCCUGAUAUGACUAAAAACUUCCAACAGGUAAUUCGAUUUUUCUUAGCACUUUCUAAGGUUUCCAUCUUACAUACCUACAUAGGAGCUUUGGAAAUUGUAAAAUAAACAGUAAAAUAAAACAUAUAGCUGCUUUCAGUUGAUUGUGUAAAUGCUAUUUCAAAAUUGUUUUGCGGUAUUAACUGAAUCUUAAUACUUUCUUUUCACAGGUGUCACCACCCCAAUAAACUUAGACAAUGAUAAAUAACAGAGUCCUAUUCACAUAAGGGUUGACUACAGUCAGUGGGGCCAGUGGAGCCAAGUGUAUGGAAACCCACAGCAGUAUGGGCAGUAUAUGGCAAAUGGGUGGCAAGUACCUCCCUACGGAGUCUAUGGGCAGCCAUGGAACCAACAAGGAUUCGGAGUAGAUCAAUCACCUUCUGCUGCUUGGAUGGGUGGAUUUGGUGCUCAGCCUCCUCAAGGACAAGCUCCUCCUCCUGUAAUACCUCCUCCAAACCAAGCUGGUUAUGGAAUGGCCAGUUUCCCAACACAGUGAGCUGGGACUCUAAACACAGUUGUAACUCACCAUAGGCUGCAAUUUCGUAUGACACUUUGAAGACAUGAAAAGUAAACAUCGGAAGUGAGAAUAUUUAUUUUAACAAUUGAAAUGUUGGAACCCUUAGCACAGCUUUGCCAGGGGAAGGACACGUGUCUUCUAGUUCUGCCUUUUUAAGUUUUUGUUCAUGAUGGAGAUGAACAUGAUUUUUCUUUGUGUACAAAAACUAAAAUAAAGUCAAUAAAGACAAUUCUGACUAUAAA